CCUACGUGUGGCAGCAGUGAGGAAUAUUGGUCAAUGGGCUUACGCCUGAACCAGCCAAGUCGCGUGAGGGAAGACUGCCCUAUGGGUUGUAAACCUCUUUUGUCAGGGAGCAACGCCGGCUACGUGUAGCCGGACUGAGAGUACCUGCAGAAAAAGCAUAGGCUAACUCCGUGCCAGCCGCCGCGGUAAUACGGAGAAUGCGAGCGUUAUCCGGAUUUAGUGGGUUUAAAGGGUGCGUAGGCGGAAGGCCAAGUCAGCGGUAAAAUCGCGGGGCUCAACCUCGCUCCGCCGUUGAAACUGGCGUUGUUGAGUGGGCGAGAAGGAUGCGGAAGGCGUGGUGUAGCGGUGAAAUGCAUAGAUAUCACGCAGAACUCCGAUUGCGAAGGCAGCAUACCGGCGCCCAACUGACGCUGAAGCACGAAAGCGUGGGUAUCGAACAGGAUUAGAUACCCUUGUAGUC
RNAcentral lists this ribosomal RNA (460 nucleotides) under uncultured bacterium. RNAcentral describes it as "partial 16S ribosomal RNA". It matches the Rfam family "Bacterial small subunit ribosomal RNA", at positions 338 to 795 of the family's 1533-position model. The record is from RNAcentral.